RNAcentral lists this ribosomal RNA (396 nucleotides) under uncultured bacterium. RNAcentral's name for it is "partial 16S ribosomal RNA". It matches the Rfam family "Bacterial small subunit ribosomal RNA", at positions 523 to 918 of the family's 1533-position model. The record is from RNAcentral.
AUACGUAGGUGGCAAGCGUUGUCCGGAAUUAUUGGGCGUAAAGCGCAUGUAGGCGGUAAUUUAAGUCUGUCGUGAAACUGCGGGGCUCGGCCCCGUAUGGCGAUGGAAACUGGGUUACUUGAGUGCAGGAGAGGAAAGGGGAACUCCCAGUGUAGCGGUGAAAUGCGUAGAUAUUGGGAAGAACACCGGUGGCGAAGGCGCCUUUCUGGACUGUGUCUGACGCUGAGAUGCGAAAGCCAGGGUAGCGAACGGGAUCAGAUACCCCGGUAGUCCUGGCCGUAAACGAUGGGUACUAGGUGUGGGAGGUAUCGACCCCUUCCGUGCCGGAGUUAACGCAAUAAGUACCCCGCCUGGGGAGUACGGCCGCAAGGCUUAAACUCAAAGGAAUUGACGGGG